This 253-nucleotide ribosomal RNA is filed under the name uncultured bacterium. RNAcentral describes it as "partial 16S ribosomal RNA". It matches the Rfam family "Bacterial small subunit ribosomal RNA", at positions 524 to 776 of the family's 1533-position model. The record is from RNAcentral.
UACGUAGGGUGCGAGCGUUGUCCGGAAUUACUGGGCGUAAAGAGCUCGUAGGUGGUUUGUCGCGUUGUCCGUGAAAACUCACAACUCAAUUGUGGGCGUGCGGGCGAUACGGGCAGACUGGAGUACUGCAGGGGAGACUGGAAUUCCUGGUGUAGCGGUGGAAUGCGCAGAUAUCAGGAGGAACACCGAUGGCGAAGGCAGAUCUCUGGGCCGUAACUGACGCUGAGGAGCGAAAGCAUGAGGAGCGAACAGG